GCUUGCUUGGUCUAGUCGGUUAUGACGUUGGUCUCAUAUUGCGCAAUGUGCUGUGAUAUCUGAAGGUCGUGAGUUCGAUUCUCACAGCGAGCA
The sequence is a transfer RNA, 93 nucleotides long. It matches the Rfam family "tRNA". Rfam says of the family: Transfer RNA (tRNA) molecules are approximately 80 nucleotides in length. Their secondary structure includes four short double-helical elements and three loops (D, anti-codon, and T loops). The record is from Rfam.